AUCGAUAAAUUCGAAGCGGUGCAACUGGAUUGACAAGUAGUCAUCGUACUCCUACAGAAGUCGAAGCUCAGCUGAGAAGCGAUCAAGAAGUCAAAAUGCCGGGACCAGGAUGCGACAAGUGCACAGAUAAGUGCCAGGAUUGCAAAUGCGGCGAUUCGUGCAAGUGCUGCAACUCCUCAUGCGGAGACAAAUGUGUUUGCAAAGCUGGUGGACAAUGCAACUGUAAGCCAUGUAAGUGCUAAAGUGGAUCAUCAACGCUAAGGAUGGAUAUUACGACGAUAAGCUAGUAGUGGAGGUUCUAGAUAUCAUUAUAUCUAUUUGAAGUCUCUAUCAAUAUUACCACAUAAUGACCAAUAAAGUGCAGUGAUAUAGAUUAUCUCCCUAUAUCAGGAGAUUUCGUUGAAAAGAAAUCUGUCCUAUUAUACACGCAGCUAAUGUAUUCAUUAUAGCGUUAAAAAUCAUUUAUUUAUUUGUCAGAUCCCAUUAUAUGUAUGUUUCAGAAAAUGCUUUUUGUACAAUAAUUGUUACUUUUUUCGUGGGAAAUAAAACGAAAAUUCUAUAGUA
Long non-coding RNA from Hylaeus volcanicus, 564 nucleotides. RefSeq lists it as uncharacterized. The transcript is spliced from 3 exons. The record is from RefSeq and is a predicted model, not a curated record. NCBI's taxonomy places the organism in Eukaryota, Metazoa, Arthropoda, Insecta, Hymenoptera, Colletidae.